Molecule: long non-coding RNA, 246 nt
Organism: Brienomyrus brachyistius
Lineage: Eukaryota; Metazoa; Chordata; Actinopteri; Osteoglossiformes; Mormyridae
Exons: 3
Source: RefSeq, a predicted model, not a curated record
CCAGCCCGUGCGGCGAGGCAGAGAGUAAAUCACAAGGGCAGCACAGGUCCCAGCCAGUGAAGCGAGGCAGAGAGUAAAUCACAAGCGCAGUACAGGUCCCAGCCCGUGUGGCGAGGCAGAGAGUAAAUCACAAGGGCAGCACAGGUCCCAGCCAGUGAAGCGAGGCAGAGAGUAAAUCACAAGCGCAGUACAGGUCCCAGCCCGUGCGGCGAGGCAGAGAGUAAAUCACAAGCGCAGUACCGAUCC